CACAUUGAAACACCAGUUCCCGUACAAUCACCGAAGUUAAGCAAUGUCAAACCUGGUUAGUACUUAGAUGGGUGACUGCUUGGGAAUACGGGGUGCUAUA
Acanthosepion pharaonis is the source of this 100-nucleotide non-coding RNA. NCBI's taxonomy places the organism in Eukaryota, Metazoa, Mollusca, Cephalopoda, Sepiida, Sepiidae. The record is from the annotation of a GenBank genome assembly.